This 354-nucleotide unclassified non-coding RNA is filed under the name uncultured Lepiota. RNAcentral describes it as "partial contains 5.8S ribosomal RNA, internal transcribed spacer 2, and large subunit ribosomal RNA". The stretch from base 1 to 102 matches the Rfam family "5.8S ribosomal RNA", at positions 53 to 154 of the family's 154-position model. Lineage: Eukaryota; Fungi; Basidiomycota; Agaricomycetes; Agaricales; Agaricaceae. The record is from RNAcentral.
AUGCGAUAAGUAAUGUGAAUUGCAGAAUUCAGUGAAUCAUCGAAUCUUUGAACGCACCUUGCGCUCCUUGGUAUUCCGAGGAGCAUGCCUGUUUGAGUGUCAUUUAAUUCUCAACCAUGCUGGCUUUGUAAAGGUCAGUUGUGGCUUGGAUUGUGGGGGUAUUCCUGCGGGUCUCUCUUGAGGUCGGCUCCCCUAAAAUGCAUUAGCAGAACCGUUUGCGGUCAGUCGCAGGUGUGAUAAUUAUCUACGCCAAAGACCAAGGCUGCUCUCUGUUUGUUCAGCUUCUAAUUGUCUCGGGACAAAUUUUUUUGAAUGUUUGACCUCAAAUCAGGUAGGACUACCCGCUGAACUUAA